ACUGAUCUCCGCUUUUUGUGUUGAGAUUUCAUAGCUUUUUAUGGAAACUUGCUCCUGCUGCCACAACUCCUUGCCCGCCAUUGAUGCCCCCUGACCCUGACCAAAUGGGUCAUAUGAGCUACGACUGGAGAAGUGGUCAGAGAAGGCCUCCAUCAAGAGGUUUCCGGUUGCACAAAAGGCGGUUUUCAGUUCUGCGGAACCAAGAGAAGCAUCACGAGUAGCAAUAUCAACGGAAAUAGUUCUCUGGAUGAAAGAAUGGUGUUAGAGGGACGUCGACGACGCAUAUCCGGUUGCAGCUCUAGAUCAUAUAAUGGCUCAAAUUCAUUUUAUUCGGAAGCGAUUUCCGAUUGCUUGGAGUUCAUCAAAAUGUCAGCACUUUCAGCGGAUGGCAACUCGAUCUGUGGCCCAUAGCUAAGCCCAUAAGACUCGAUGCAGAGGUUCUUUCCUUUUCUUGAGCUUUCUGCCUGGACGUUUCUUUCAUUUCAUAGUGAUUGUGGUUUGUUAAAGUGUCCCACAUUGGUAAGAGAUCCUUGUCUUGUACACUUUAUAAGUCAUGGUGUCUCCUUUUCUCUCAAGGCGUUUUUUGAGAGUGAGUAAACUCCAUAGACUUUUACAUGGUAUCAAAGCGGGUUCCUUUGACAAUGAUGGACAUUUUCUUCCUGUUGUUGAACACGUGUUUAGUCAAAUAUGUCACACGUGAGGGGCGUUUUAAAGUGUCUCACAUUGCUAAGAUAUCUUUGUCUUGUACACUUUAUAAGCCAUAGUAUCUCCUCCUCUCUGAAGACGUCUUUUGAGAGUGAGUAAAGCUUAUGAACUUUUA
Alnus glutinosa is the source of this 820-nucleotide long non-coding RNA. RefSeq lists it as uncharacterized. The transcript has 2 exons. Lineage: Eukaryota; Viridiplantae; Streptophyta; Magnoliopsida; Fagales; Betulaceae. The record is from RefSeq and is a predicted model, not a curated record.